Punica granatum (pomegranate) is the source of this 537-nucleotide non-coding RNA. The record is from RefSeq and is a predicted model, not a curated record. Lineage: Eukaryota; Viridiplantae; Streptophyta; Magnoliopsida; Myrtales; Lythraceae.
CUUCCUUUCUUCUUUCUGUAUAUAUUCCUCAACACUAAUCUCUCUGUCUCUCUUAAGUCUUAAAGAAAACCGAAAUAAGGUAAAGAAGAACAGAGAAAAAACUGAAUAACAAGAGCAAGGCAACGGCUAAUUUCUCUGCCUCUCUCUGUCUCUCUUGCUCUGUUCCACCCUCGCCUUCGCCGCCUGUCGCGCCCCCGCUGUCUCCGAGAAUGUUGUGGAAAGAGAGGAUGGAGAGGCAAGAACGAACUACGAAGGUGGCUGCAACGGGUUUGGAGAAGAAGAAUGCUUAGUUCGAAGAACUCUGGCUGCCCACAUCGACUAUAUGUACACCCAGAAGCAAAUACCUUGAUACACUAUAGGGUGCUAUUACAUGCAAAAUUAGUAGAAAUUUUCGAUAUGGAAACGUUCCCGGUUCGAUCUAUAGUGAAAGCAGUGAGAAGAGAUCCUUCUGAUCUCGGUUGUCACUCACUGUGUUAUGCAAUUUAGGUUACUGCGGUUGUAUUUGGCUCUUCGGAUUAAAAUGAACCAAAAUUAAAA